Long non-coding RNA from Drosophila simulans, 914 nucleotides. RefSeq lists it as uncharacterized. The transcript is spliced from 3 exons. Lineage: Eukaryota; Metazoa; Arthropoda; Insecta; Diptera; Drosophilidae. The record is from RefSeq and is a predicted model, not a curated record.
AUUCCCCCCUCACUUUUCUAUUUGCAUAAUGCUAUUUGAAGUUUCCAGCUCUACUUUUCGAAACACAAUUGUGGCAAUACAGUCAUAGACCUUUUUGUGGGACUAGGCAUAUGACAGGGCCGCCUUGUUUAACCAGGCCGACUGCCGAAGCGCAGCUUCGUGUCGUUAUCCUUAUCAGGCGAGUGCUGUGCCAGUGGUUCUCCGCUGCCUUCGGGGUCCUUUAAACGAGCGGAUGGCUGUGCCGUCGCCUCAGUUCGUCGGCAGCCGUCCCUCAGUGCGGAUGACACAAAAUCGGACCGCGACAGCGCCGACCUUUGACACCAGCUUUUGCUUUUGCUCGCGUCCGCGAUUUUUGCCGCGCUGUCAACGCGGUUUCAAACGCUUUCGAUCCGUUCGUUGUUUGUGCUGCAAUUUCGGGGCGAGUGAUAAAAAGAAUAAAAUAAACAGAGCAAACAAGAAUUCAGGAGCUACAUGACAGAAUAGAGUAAAGCCUCCGUCGUUCAAUACCAAAUCAAUUGAAAUAUGUACACUCGCUUUGCAGGAUGCACCCACGGUAAACAAGAGCUGGUGCACAUGAUUGUUUGUUUGCGAGCAUCGGAUUCGUUACCAGACCUAUUUGGCAUACAGUGCGUUUCGCCACUAAGUGUCUCUGGUGCCAGCACAAUUUGCAUAUAAAACUGCACGUGUUCUUCCAAAAUUUAGCAGAUUAUAGUGAGCAUAAAUCGUUCUAAUACAACGAAUUUCGAGAGUUUUUUUAAAUUGUGGCUGAUUUGGUAAUUACAUCAUUCUUGUUCUUUAAAAUGCCACAACUUUCUCAGCUGUAACGACUCGAAUCCAGAUGAUAUAUUGCACCGAUGCCUCUCGUGCAGGCGCAUUAAGUUCGCUUACUGCCGGCAAUAAACUCAUUUACGUAC